GACGAACGCUGGCGGCGUGCUUAACACAUGCAAGUCGAACGGAAAGGCCCUGCUUUUGUGGGGUGCUCGAGUGGCGAACGGGUGAGUAACACGUGAGUAACCUGCCCUUGACUUUGGGAUAACUUCAGGAAACUGGGGCUAAUACCGGAUAGGAGCUCCUGCUGCAUGGUGGGGGUUGGAAAGUUUCGGCGGUUGGGGAUGGACUCGCGGCUUAUCAGCUUGUUGGUGGGGUAGUGGCUUACCAAGGCUUUGACGGGUAGCCGGCCUGAGAGGGUGACCGGCCACAUUGGGACUGAGAUACGGCCCAGACUCCUACGGGAGGCAGCAGUGGGGAAUAUUGCACAAUGGGCGGAAGCCUGAUGCAGCAACGCCGCGUGCGGGAUGACGGCCUUCGGGUUGUAAACCGCUUUCGCCUGUGACGAAGCGUGAGUGACGGUAAUGGGUAAAGAAGCACCGGCUAACUACGUGCCAGCAGCCGCGGUGAUACGUAGGGUGCGAGCGUUGUCCGGAUUUAUUGGGCGUAAAGGGCUCGUAGGUGGUUGAUCGCGUCGGAAGUGUAAUCUUGGGGCUUAACCCUGAGCGUGCUUUCGAUACGGGUUGACUUGAGGAAGGUAGGGGAGAAUGGAGUUCCUGGUGGAGCGGUGGAAUGCGCAGAUAUCAGGAGGAACACCAGUGGCGAAGGCGGUUCUCUGGGCCUUUCCUGACGCUGAGGAGCGAAAGCGUGGGGAGCGAACAGGCUUAGAUACCCUGGUAGUCCACGCUGUAAACGGUGGGUACUAGGUGUGGGGUCCAUUCCACGGGUUCCGUGCCGUAGCUAACGCUUUAAGUACCCCGCCUGGGGAGUACGGCCGCAAGGCUAAAACUCAAAGGAAUUGACGGGGCCCCGCACAAGCGGCGGAGCAUGCGGAUUAAUUCGAUGCAACGCGUAGAACCUUACCUGGGUUUGACAUGGAUCGGGAGUGCUCAGAGAUGGGUGUGCCUCUUUUGGGGUCGGUUCACAGGUGGUGCAUGGCUGUCGUCAGCUCGUGUCGUGAGAUGUUGGGUUAAGUCCCGCAACGAGCGCAACCCUUGUUCACUGUUGCCAGCACGUUAUGGUGGGGACUCAGUGGAGACCGCCGGGGUCAACUCGGAGGAAGGUGGGGAUGACGUCAAGUCAUCAUGCCCCUUAUGUCCAGGGCUUCACGCAUGCUACAAUGGCUGGUACAGAGAGUGGCGAGCCUGUGAGGGUGAGCGAAUCUCGGAAAGCCGGUCUCAGUUCGGAUUGGGGUCUGCAACCCGACCUCAUGAAGUCGGAGUCGCUAGUAAUCGCAGAUCAGCAACGCUGCGGUGAAUACGUUCCCGGG
RNAcentral lists this ribosomal RNA (1343 nucleotides) under uncultured bacterium. RNAcentral's name for it is "16S ribosomal RNA". It matches the Rfam family "Bacterial small subunit ribosomal RNA", at positions 28 to 1378 of the family's 1533-position model. The record is from RNAcentral.